AGUAAAAGUCGUAACAAGGUCUCCGUUGGUGAACCAGCGGAGGGAUCAUUACAGAGUUGCAAAACUCCCACAAACCAUCGCGAAUCUUACCCGUACGGUUGCCUCGGCGCUGGCGGUCCGGAAAGGCCUUCGGGCCCUCCCGGAUCCUCGGGUCUCCCGCUCGCGGGAGGCUGCCCGCCGGAGUGCCGAAACUAAACUCUUGAUAUUUUAUGUCUCUCUGAGUAAACUUUUAAACAAGUCAAAACUUUCAACAACGGAUCUCUUGGUUCUGGCAUCGAUGAAGAACGCAGCGAAAUGCGAUAAGUAAUGUGAAUUGCAGAAUUCAGUGAAUCAUCGAAUCUUUGAACGCACAUUGCGCUCGCCAGUAUUCUGGCGAGCAUGCCUGUUCGAGCGUCAUUUCAACCAUCAAGCUCUGCUUGCGUUGGGGAUCCGCGGCUGUCCGCGGUCCCUCAAAAUCAGUGGCGGGCUCGCUAGUCACACCGAGCGUAGUAACUCUACAUCGCUAUGGUCGUGCGGCGGGUUCUUGCCGUAAAACCCCCCAUUUCUAAGGUUGACCUCGGAUCAGGUAGGAAUACCCGCUGAACUUUAGCAUAUCAAUAAGC
This 602-nucleotide ribosomal RNA is filed under the name uncultured fungus. RNAcentral describes it as "eukaryotic LSU rRNA". The stretch from base 243 to 396 matches the Rfam family "5.8S ribosomal RNA". Lineage: Eukaryota; Fungi. The record is from RNAcentral.